GAUGAACGCUGGCGGCGUGCCUAAUACAUGCAAGUCGAGCGAACAGAUGAGGAGCUUGCUCCUCUGACGUUAGCGGCGGACGGGUGAGUAACACGUGGGUAACCUACCUAUAAGACUGGAAUAACUUCGGGAAACCGGAGCUAAUACCGGAUAAUAUAUAGAACCGCAUGGUUCUAUAGUGAAAGAUGGUUUUGCUGUCACUUAUAGAUGGAUCCGCGCCGCAUUAGCUAGUUGGUAAGGUAACGGCUUACCAAGGCAACGAUGCGUAGCCGACCUGAGAGGGUGAUCGGCCACACUGGAACUGAGACACGGUCCAGACUCCUACGGGAGGCAGCAGUAGGGAAUCUUCCGCAAUGGGCGAAAGCCUGACGGAGCAACGCCGCGUGAGUGAUGAAGGUCUUCGGAUCGUAAAACUCUGUUAUUAGGGAAGAACAAAUGUGUAAGUAACUGUGCACGUCUUGACGGUACCUAAUCAGAAAGCCACGGCUAACUACGUG
This 497-nucleotide ribosomal RNA is filed under the name uncultured bacterium. RNAcentral describes it as "partial 16S ribosomal RNA". It matches the Rfam family "Bacterial small subunit ribosomal RNA", at positions 28 to 507 of the family's 1533-position model. The record is from RNAcentral.